RNAcentral lists this long non-coding RNA (541 nucleotides) under Manihot esculenta (cassava). Its description in RNAcentral is "long non-coding RNA (MESC_LNC006672)". The record is from RNAcentral. Lineage: Eukaryota; Viridiplantae; Streptophyta; Magnoliopsida; Malpighiales; Euphorbiaceae.
AGCACCAAAAAUUCUCUCAAUGUAUUCAGUUCUUAGCAUAAUUUAUGUUUUAACCAUUUGUAAGGAGACUGUAGUUUACUACAACUCAGUCGUAGCAGUCAUAGUAUAAUUAUUUGUAUUUACAAAGUAAGUUUGUAUUUGUACGUUUAUAUUUUAAUACAAUCUGUAUUAUACAAUUGUUACAAAGUAAGCCCGUGUUGACGGCAACUAUUUUCUCUCUCUCUUCGCUUCACAAUCUGAGUUAACUCUGGGAUUCCAGGUUAACAGUGCAGGAACCCUGACCAAUAAGUAUGCUCUGUGCUUGCAGUUCAAACUGAUAUGGCACAUCAGAAACUAUGAACAUUGAAAUAGGCAUAUUUUAUUGUCAUAUUUGUGACCAAUUUUAUAUUGAAUACUAUUGUUAUGAAUGUAAAUGCUUCUAUACUAUGAAUAUUGAUGACCCAUAUUGUACUCUUAAUAUUGUAUAAACUAAUGGAAUAUUUAAUUUUAGUUUAUGUUUAUGAAUCAGACAAUGGAUAUAUUACUGAAUAUAUUGUUUAUU